Molecule: long non-coding RNA, 6225 nt
Filed under: Aquilegia coerulea
Lineage: Eukaryota; Viridiplantae; Streptophyta; Magnoliopsida; Ranunculales; Ranunculaceae
Description: long non-coding RNA (ACOE_LNC000014)
Source: RNAcentral
UGAUGUCUUGUUGCACUUAGUUGUUUUUCUUAGCUGAAUUUGAGUAUUGAGUAAAUUCUGCGAAUUAUGUAGGUUUGAAUGUUCUACUUAGGGUUUGAAGUUGAAGUAGUUUAAAAAGGUUAAAUUAAUGAAUAAAAUUGAUUUAGGGGUUAGGCAAAGACAAGAGAGUUGAUAGAAGAUAGAUAGAAGAAGACCUUAUUGAGUUUCUUGCUUGCUUGCAGGGUAAUUUCUUUUUAUUUUUUUAUUUGAAAGUGUUAUUUAUAUAUUAAGUCUUCUCUUUCAUAUUGGGCUAGUUGUAUGCAUUAUUCUAGAGACUUUUGGAUGAAGACAUGGUCGAAAAAUCUAAAGUUCUUUGCUACUUCUUAAUGAAUGGUUGGUGGUCUUUGUAUUAGUCUCCAUCAAGCCUCUUCUUAUUAGUCUAUAUUAAUGUUUGGAAGAAAAACAUUUUUGUGUUUUCCUCGAACUUUCGCGCUUUGGUCAAAUGGUAUACUAAUUUCUCAGUUUAAAUGGGUGUACAAUGUUCUUUAGUUUCUUACAACAAAGACAUUACAGUGAGUUUUAAUUCUGAUUAGUUUGAGUUUAUGCUUUCUGUGAUAUCUGAAUCCAUUAACCAUUUCUCUUCUUCUUAUUAUGUUUGAUUUGCUAUGCUAUGUAGGUGGUUUUUGUGAAGUAGAGAAGUUGACUUUGUUAGUGUUGGGUUUUAUAUGCAUAAUCAGGAGAAGGGGAAGUUUUUUGUUCAGGAACGUACGAAUGGCUUUAGGGCGUUCGUACGUCCAAUGUGGCAGACAACUUUUUCGGGACAGAACGUACGAACGUGGUUAGGGCGUUCGAACGUCCCGUACGCCAGAUCUUUGUUACGUGUUGUACACGUACGUACGUGAUUUCGACGUACGUACGUCCUCUUCCAGUUUUGUGCAAUAUGGGCCUGUUUUGAGCCCAAUUCGUGGCUAUUGUAAGGCUAUACUAUAAAGCCAAAUAGAUGAGAUGCAAAACCUUAACUUUUCUAGGAGAGAGAUUGUGAGAAGCCAUUAGAGAGUUUGAGAGAACUUUUGUGAGGAAGAGAACUUCGGUUUCUUCGUGAGGGUUUGUACAAUUGUCUUGUUAAAGAAAAACAUCAUCCUUUCUCCCCGUGGACGUAGGCAUAUUGCCGAACCACGUACAUCUUGUGUCUUGUGUGUGAUUGCUUGUUUACUUUUGUCGUUUUCGUUUUACUUUCAUAUAUUAGUUCAAUCAUCAUAUUUGUGCAUUAGCCUCCGCUGCGCACAACAAGUGGCAUCAGAGCUUAGGUUAGAACUUGAACGUCUACAAGGUGUGUUGAAAUUCCGGUGUGAAUUUCAGAUUCGUUUGGUAAUUGUUUAGUGUUUUGAAAGUUGGUGGAAAGAUGUCAAAAGAAGGGAGUUCGAAGAGUUCGAAGGGGGAAACCAAAUCUGUGGUUUACCAUCAAGCAAAAAUUGAUGUAGAGAAGUUUACUGGCACCAAUAACUUUGGUAUGUGGAGGUGUGAGGUAAUGGAUGCUCUAUGUCAACAAGACCUAUAAGAUAUUCUGGAGGAUAAGCCAGAAGAUGUGGAAGAGAAGGAUUGGAAAAAGAUGAACAAACGAGCUUGUGGAAUCAUAAGGUCGUGUUUGGCACAAGAAAUCAAAUAUCUUGUGAUGAAUGAUGUUUCUGCAAAGGAGAUGUGGCAAAAAUUGGAGGAGAAGUACAUGACAAAGACUAUCCACAAUAAAAACUAUCUACUUCGAAAGUUUUAUCGAAUAGAUAUGAGAAGAGGUAUUUCCAUGGCGGAACAUCUUAAUGAUUUUACCAAGCUGAUUGCAGACUUGGCAAAUCUAGGAGCAGAUGUGAGUGAUGAAAGCAAGGCGGUGUGUCUCCUCAAUUCGUUACCGGACGAAUAUGAACACUUGGCUAUCACACUCACAUAUAGGAAAGAAAAAUUGGUGUAUAGUGAGAUUUCUGCAGCAUUGUUAAAUCAUGCGUGUAUGAAGAAGGACAAAGAAGAGUCCAAGGGCUCUACACAUGAGGUCUUGGUUACAAGAGGAAGGUCUAGUGACAGGAAAGGCCAAGGUGGUAGAGGGAAAUCUCGGUCAAAGUCGAGAGGUCGAUCUCUAGCAAAGGAUGAAUGCUCCUUUUGUCAUGAGAAAUGGCAUUGGAAGAGAGAUUGUCCUAAAGCCAAGGCAAAAGACAAGAAGAAAGACUCUGAGGUAAACGUUGCAUGUGAUACUAAAGAUGAGGAUGUAGAUUCUGAUUAUUCUUUAUCUGUUUCAUCAAUGGCUUGUUACACUAGUGGUAAUGAAUGGAUUUUAGAUUGUGCUGCUUCUUAUCAUAUAUGUCCUAUAACGGAAUGGUUUUCUGAUUUUAAGAAGCAGGAGAGUGGUGUAGUGGUGAUGGGGAAUGAUCAACCUUGUCACAUAAUGGGUAUAGGCACCAUUCGUCUGAAGAUGUUUGAUGGAAUUAUAAGGAAGCUGAAAAAUGUUAGGUAUGUUCCUGACAUGAAGAAGAAUCUUAUCUCAGUUGGUACUUUAGAAGCCAGUGGUUACAGGGUGGUACUUGAACAUGGCGUUCUAAAGGUUGUGGCUGGUGCAAUAGUUGUACUCAAGGGUGUUCGACAGAGGAACUUGUACUUCCUUCAAGGUAGUACAGUUACUGGUGAUGUGGCCAUGUCUGAGGCUACAUCAAAGAUGGCUAGAGAGACUACGCGGUUGUGGCAUAUGCGGUUGGCGCAUACUGGUGAAAAAUCCUUGCAAAGAUUGAUUAAGCAAGGAUUGUUAAAAGGUGCUAUCGCCUGUAAAUUAGAAUUCUGUGAGCAUUGUAUUCUGGGCAAGCAGACAAGAGUAAAGUUUGGCACGGCUAUCCAUAAUACUAGUGGAGCUCUUGAUUAUGUUCACACGGAUGUCUGGGGACCUACCAAGAACGCAUCUUGGGGAGGUAAGCAUUAUUUUGUGUCUUUUGUUGAUGAUUUUUCUAGGCGUGUGUGGGUGUACACCAUGAAGAGCAAGGAUGAAGUCCUAGAAAUUUUCAUGAAAUGGAAAAAGUUAGUUGAGACCCGAAUUGGCAGAAAGAUCAAGGUACUUCGCUCAGAUAAUGGAGGAGAGUACAAGAAUGAUCCAUUCUUGCAAGUAUGUCAGGAUGAGGGUAUUGAACGUCAUUUCACUGUAAGAGAGACACCGCAGCAAAAUGGGGUGGCAGAACGGAUGAAUUGAACUUUACUGGAGAGAGUUCGGUGUAUGUUGUCUAAUGCUGGGUUAGGCAAAGUGUUUUGGGCUGAGGCUAUUAUGUAUGCCGGUCACCUUAUUAACAGGUUGCCUUCGACUGCGAUUGAUGGCAAAACUCCUAUGGAGGUUUGGUCUGGUAAGCCUGUUUCAGAUUAUUGUUUUCUUCAUGUGUUUGGGUGUCCAGCUUACUAUCAUGUCCAAGAGAGUAAGUUGGAUCCUCGUGCAAAGAAGUCUUUAUUUAUGGGUCUACAGAGUGGAGUAAAAGGUUAUAAGCUAUGGGAUCCAGAAUUGAAGAAAAUUAUUCUAAGCAGAGAUGUGACAUUUGAUGAGGCUUCUAUGUUGAAGUCUAAGAGCUCUCAGCAGGUGGAGAGCAAGGCCAAAGAGGUUUCGCAGUGGGUGGAGACUGAAAUAUCUCCACGUGUUCCAGGUGGUUCUGUAUCUUUGGAAACGUCUACUGUAAGGGUUCCAAGUGAUGAGGUUCCUAGUGUUACAGAUUCUGAUGACAUGAUAGAUAAUGAGACGGUUGAUGAUACAGUACAUGUGGACUCUGAUGAUGAGGGUCCAAUUGCAUCUAGAUUAUCCAAGAGAAAUGCGGGUGUUCCUAAACGGCUUACUGAUGAUAUGGUAGCUUAUGCACUUUCGGUUGUUGAUGAGGGUAUUCCAGAAACUUUUCGUGAAGCACUGCAGAGUUGUGAUUAUGAAAGGUGGAAGAAGGCCAUGGAUGAGGAGAUGAAAUCUCUUCAUAAGAAUGACACUUCGGAACUCAUGGAGUUGCCUAAGGGAAAGAAAGCAAUUGGGUGCAAAUAGGUUUACACUAAGAAAGAUGGGUCUCCUGGUGAAAAUGUACGCUUCAAAGCAAGAUUGGUGGCAAAAGGCUAUGCUCAGAAGGAGGGAAUUGAUUAUAAUGAAAUCUUUUCUCCGGUUGUGAAACAUUCCUCCAUUCGCAUCCUAUUGGCCUUGGUAGCACAGUUUGAUUUGGAGUUAGCUCAACUUGAUGUGAAAACUGCUUUUCUACAUGGUGAGCUAGAUGAGGAGAUCUAUAUGACUCAGCCGAGUGGGUAUAAAGAUGCGGGAAAUGAUAAGUUGGUGUGUAGAUUGAAGAAAUCGUUGUAUGGGUUGAGGCAAUCUCCAAGACAAUGGUACAAGCGGUUUACACAGUUUAUGCUUGGGCAAGGGUACACAAGAAGUCUAUAUGAUUCUUGUGUCUAUUUUCGCAAGGUAUGUGAUGGUUCUUUUAUCUAUUUGCUUUUAUAUGUUGAUGACAUGCUCAUAGCCUCUAAAAGCAAUGUGGAGAUAGACAAGUUGAAAAAGACUAUGUCUAUGGAGUUUGAGAUGAAAGAUCUUGGUGAUGCGAGAAAGAUACUUGGCAUGGAAAUUCAGAGGGAUCGAGACAAUGGAAGGUUGUGGUUAUCUCAAAAGGCCUAUCUACAGAAGGUGCUACAGAGAUUUAGCCAAUAUGAGAUUGGUGUAGCUGUGAGUAUACCUCUCUCAAAAGAUUUUAAUUUGAAUGCUUCCAUGUCUCCUAAUUCUGAUAGGGGACGUGCUUAUAUGACACGUUAUCCAUACGCAAGUGCGGUUGGUAGCUUGAUGUAUGCGAUGGUAUGUACAAGGCCCGACAUUGGGCAUGCAGUUGGCACUGUAAGUAGGUACAUGCAUAAUCCUGGUGAGAAACAUUGGGAAGCUUUGAAAUGGAUCUUGCGCUACAUUCAAGGUAGUGUGGAGAUUGGUUUACUAUUCCAGAAGGGAAGGGAUUUGACUCAGUUGUGUGUUGGUUAUGUGGACGCUGAUUAUGAUGGUCAGAUAGAGCGACGUCGGUCUACUACUGGAUAUGUUUUUACAUUGGCAGGUGGUCCUAUUAGUUGGCGGUCUACAUUACAAUCUCUUGUUGCUUUGUCUUCGACAGAAGCAGAAUAUAUGGCUGUGACUGAAGCCUUUAAGGAAGCCAUUUGGUUACGAGGUAUGUUGAAGAACUUGGGUAUUGUGCAGGAGAAGCUUAUGGUUCAUUGUGACAAUCAAAGUACCAUAAAUCUGGCAAAGAACUCAGUUUACCAUGCUCGUACAAAGCACAUUGAUGUGCGACAUCACUUUGUCAGGGACAUUAUUGAAGAUGGUGAGAUCUUAUUGAAGAAGAUUCAUACUAGCAAUAAUCCGGCCGACAUGUUGACUAAAGUGGUUCCAGGGACUAAGUUCUAUCAUUGCUUAGAUUUAGUCCAUAUCCUUCCUUUGUGUUGAUAGUAUAUCAUGGAGUGAACUACGAUGGCUUGAUCCCUUAGAAGAAGGGUACGUAGGCAACCAUGAGGUGGUGCAGCCGAGGUGGUCUUUUGGGACAUGUGUGAGAGUUUGUGAUUUGUGUUUUUCGGCUUAGAUUUAUUGAAUCUUCGCCGAGGUGGAGAAUUGUUGGGUUUUAUAUGCAUAAUCAGGAGAAGGGGAAGUUUUUUGUUCAGGAACGUACGAAUGGCUUUAGGGCGUUCGUACGUCCAAUGUGGCAGACAACUUUUUCGGGACAGAACGUACGAACGUGGUUAGGGCGUUCGAACGUCCCGUACGCCAGAUCUUUGUUACGUGUUGUACACGUACGUACGUGAUUUCGACGUACGUACGUCCUCCUCCAGUUUUGUGCAAUAUGGGCCUGUUUUGAGCCCAAUUCGUGGCUAUUGUAAGGCUAUACUAUAAAGCCAAAUAGAUGAGAUGCAAAACCUUAACUUUUCUAGGAGAGAGAUUGUGAGAAGCCAUUAGAGAGUUUGAGAGAACUUUUGUGAGGAAGAGAACUUCGGUUUCUUCGUGAGGGCUUGUACAAUUGUCUUGUUAAAGAAAAACAUCAUCCUUUCUCCCCGUGGACGUAGGCAUAUUGCCGAACCACGUACAUCUUGUGUCUUGUGUGUGAUUGCUUGUUUACUUUUGUCGUUUUCGUUUUACUUUCAUAUAUUAGUUCAAUCAUCAUAUUUGUGCAUUAGCCUCCGCUGCGCACAACAGUUAGCAUUCAGAAAAUAUUUGUAAAUUGAUUGAUUUGAUGG